UGUGUGUGUGUGUGUGUGUGUUUAAACAUAGUGUAACCAACCUAUUGUUCUUAUAACUGGUAGGUGUUGAUUCAGAGGAAGUUGGUUUCUGGUCCAAGUUUUGACAUAAGCCUUGUCUUUCUGUUACCAGCGCUUAUAAAUGUGAAAACUGGUCAUGCAAGUAAAUGAUCUUAACCACAUUAAACAUACUGCCUCAGCCAUUACUAAGUGUCUACUUCUGAAGUUGGACAUGGGAUGAGAAAAAAAAGCUCCUUCGAUCUUGGGCAUGGCUGUGUCCCACUAUGACCCUCCAUGUCCCCACGUCAUAAACCUGGAGCUGAAAGAGACCCGAGAGCAUCUGCUAGUCCAACAUCCUGUUCCCAGCAGAGUCAAAGGUGGCAGCUGCCCUUCAAAGUUCCUACACUGAUUGCAACCCAAACCCUCUGCUUUCCAAUGCUUUGUUGCUUCGUUUUGCAGUUGGGACAAUUAAAUGGUACUCCUGUUUCAGAA
This is a long non-coding RNA of Neogale vison (American mink), 489 nucleotides long. RefSeq lists it as uncharacterized. Lineage: Eukaryota; Metazoa; Chordata; Mammalia; Carnivora; Mustelidae. The record is from RefSeq and is a predicted model, not a curated record. The transcript has 2 exons.